This 208-nucleotide ribosomal RNA is filed under the name uncultured bacterium. RNAcentral describes it as "partial 16S ribosomal RNA". It matches the Rfam family "Bacterial small subunit ribosomal RNA", at positions 568 to 774 of the family's 1533-position model. The record is from RNAcentral.
CUCGUAGGUGGUUUGUCGCGUCGUCUGUGAAAUUCCGGGGCCUAACUCCGGGCGUGCAGGCGAUACGGGCAUAACUUGAGUACUGUAGGGGUAACUGGAAUUCCUGGUGUAGCGGUGAAAUGCGCAGAUAUCAGGAGGAACACCGAUGGCGAAGGCAGGUUACUGGGCAGUUACUGACGCUGAGGAGCGAAAGCAUGGGUAGCGAACA